GAUUGGACCCCGGCCGCAGCGGCUUCUGGGAGUGCAGUUCGGGGUCUCGCUCUAGUUAGGCCGGAACACGGCUUAGCAGCUCCUCAACCUUGGCGUUGUCCGACAGCCCAGAACCAAACCUUCCUCGGAUAAAAGAAAGCUCUGAAUAAAGGAACUCACUUGCAUGACAUCCUUCAAGUCUUUCUCCAAGAUAUAAAGAAAUGACUUCUGCAUUCCCAAUCAUCUUGGAAACUUGAGCACUCAAGACCAUAAUUUGUAAGGCUUUUCAUUAUCUUCCACGGGGGUGGUUGUACUUCAUAACUGUGCUGCUUUGGAGAGAAUACUGUAGCAUCAUAUCUGGACUUCAGUACUGAAAAAGAACAAAACAAGUAGGUGUUUGUUUUUUCCUUUUCCAGAAAAAAGAACUUUUGUAGUAAACACUGGAAAGUUGAGACUCAAAAUAAUAUCUGUAUGCUCUUGAAUGUGAUUAAGAAAUUAGAAAAUGGACAAGUAGAGAAAGAGGAAAUACCAUAAAUUGAGGUGAAUGAGGUAAUCAGAGAAAUCAUUAAGAGUCGUUCUAAAAUGUUAAUGUGGAGCAGAAUCACUGCAGAACCAUGGUUUUAAAAAAUGAAUGUUUCUGUGAAACCCUAGAAAAGACAAAUAUAAGAGUAACAGAAAGCAAAUCAUUUGUUGCUUGUGGCUAGGGGGUAUGAACGAUUGUGUGGGAAGGAGCACAAGGGAACUUUUCAGGGUGAUGAAAAUUUAUCUUGUCUGUGGUACUGGUCAUAAAAGUGUACACCUUUGUCAUUAGUCAUUAAAAUAUGCUUAAAAUGCAGGCAUUUAAUUUACUAUAAAUUGUACCUCAAUAAAGUGGAUUUUUAAAAACGA
Long non-coding RNA from Odocoileus virginianus texanus, 867 nucleotides. RefSeq lists it as uncharacterized. The record is from RefSeq and is a predicted model, not a curated record. NCBI's taxonomy places the organism in Eukaryota, Metazoa, Chordata, Mammalia, Artiodactyla, Cervidae.